GCCGGGCAUGGUAGCACGUGCCUGUAGUCCCAGCUACUCAGGAGGCUGAGGCAGGAGAAUUGCUUGAACCCAGGAGAUGGAGUUUGCAGUGAGCCAAGAUCAAGGUGAUGCCACUGCACUCCAGCCUGGGUGACAGAGCGAGACUCUGUCUCAA
RNAcentral lists this small RNA (154 nucleotides) under Pongo abelii (Sumatran orangutan). Its description in RNAcentral is "Metazoan signal recognition particle RNA (ENSPPYG00000035796.1)". Lineage: Eukaryota; Metazoa; Chordata; Mammalia; Primates; Hominidae. The record is from Rfam by way of RNAcentral.